Molecule: long non-coding RNA, 3333 nt
Organism: Anguilla rostrata (American eel)
Lineage: Eukaryota; Metazoa; Chordata; Actinopteri; Anguilliformes; Anguillidae
Exons: 3
Source: RefSeq, a predicted model, not a curated record
ACGUCUCUUGUAUAAAUGCAGUCGGAGUGGCAGGCUCUUGCAUUUGGGAAGAGGAGGAACAGGGUUGCUUGUUCUGAUUUGGGAAGGUUCGCACUACAACGAAAAUAAAAAACUAUAACGAAUUAUGGGUUACACAAGACGACUCGAUUUGAGCUGUUUGUUCGGAAAGCUGGUGAUAUUCGGGCGGACAAUGUGGAGUCCUACGUAGGUUAGAGGCGGAUAAUUUGUGCAGACAAGCUACCUAAACGGUACGAGGGUGUUUCAAACAUUCGAAGCUGCAGCAGCAGCGGAGCGCACGUGCCCUCCGUCCACGCCACGUGCUUAAGGAGCGGAAGGCCGCGUCUGGGCACAGAGGCUGCCUUUGAACAGAGGUCGAAGAAAUCCAGAUGCGGCUGGCGCAAGUGCUACCUGGGAGAAGACUGAUUGUAUAAUUUCUUAAGCUUUCUAUGAAUAUAAAAUAAAAUAAAAAUGGUUUAGUCUCCAGUCUUGGUGUGGUCGUUCUUUGAGCACCUGCGACUUGCCCGUCUGCACUGUCUUUGAACCUGUGGAGCCUUACUUGUGGUUUCACAGGCCAAGCUACAGUGCGAGAGAAACGCUUGUUAUAACUGGGGCUUCUUUGGCGUCUACCAAGCUGCUCUUUUAAAAGCAAGUUACAUCUGAACAAUUUGUUUUUUGUAGUAGAACGGUCACCCGCUCUGCCAGUCUUUUCUCCCUUGUAACCUGGUCAACUUGCCGUCUGGGUUGGUGACGUGCUGUGUUUCACAAAACAGGAUUACGGAGUUAGCCGAAUAACCACAGCGAGUGGAACCCUCCCAGAUCUGGACUCUGUACUCCACUCAAUUACCCAGCUAACUCAAAUCCUGCUUUAUGAAACGCCUUCCCUGGUCUUUAACAAAGCAUACUUUGGUUGGGAAAAUGCUGGAUUAAACAUCCCUUGUAACUGCUGCUAGAAAGCUUUUUUUUCCCCCCCCUUCUCCCUUUUUUUGUAUCCAAGUCAAUUUAUACAUUUUGCUGUUGAUUCAAUGCAUGUGAUUGCUAAGCAGUAAAAAAAAAAAAAAACCCAUAGCCAAAAAUAUGACCUUUCAAAGUGGUAUGGCUGCCAUGGCAACCCUUGAACCCUGGCAUGUUUCCCAAGAUGGAUGUGUGUGUGUGUAUAUAUAUCUCUCAAUCAAAAGUGACAUUAGAAUGUGUACAUUUUUAAUCGGAUGCAGGCCCCUGGAGUCAAACCCACAAUGUUUGUGUGUUUUGCACAACUGUGCCACAGGACCACAGACAAUGUCUAAUGAUUCAGAUGGGGAACAAUAGUCAUAAGGGGAGAACGUGAUUUAUUCAAACCGCAAAACCUUUAUUCCUCAUAAGUCGACCUUCAUACAAUAUUCCCUAUACUGCUGAACAUAGUGCAUUUUGUCGUCCUGACUGCUUGUAGUUAUUGCACACAAAAGAGGGGUAUUACGUUGACACGACACAGGUUUCGCACCAUUUUAUCACUUACAAAUGAUAGAGUAUUAAAAGGCUUCCUCUGCAUCAUAACUUCGAAAACAAUUUUUAAAAUCUCAACAAGGCUUGUAUGGUGAACAGAUAAAUCAACAAUAUGGCAAUAAUUGUGUGUGUGUGUGUGUAUAUAUAUAUAUGAAUUAAUACAAUUCCAGUAAAAUGAAGGCAUUACCACAGGAAAGUGAACAGGGUCUGUGAGCUUCCACACAGGCCUGUGUGUACAGUCACACCAUCAGAUGGGCCUCUAAAUGAAUCCACUGAUGAUUCACUUAAAGCAGAGCCGCCCAGUCCUGUUCCUGGAGAUCUACCGCCCCCUGCAGGUUUCAACUCUCCUUAAUUUGGAACGCUUAAUUAUCAGCUCAAUGAAAUCUCCAGCGGUUGAAUGAGGUGCACUUUUGUUAGGGUUGGAAUCCAAACCUACAGGGCAUAUUCCCAGGAACAGGAUUGAGCAGCCUUGAUUCAAAGCUUCACAUAUGCCUGCCUGUACUGUAGUUUGAGAUCCUGCCCAUAAUUACGGUUAUACACUACAAGUCCCAUCAGCCUUUUCUUCAUUAAUAUUGCAGUGCUGGAGCACACUCCAUGUGCAGGACAUUGCAGCAGGCCUAUCCCGUAAAAUAAGUCUGAGGCUUGAUGCAUGCCCUCCCUUUAAUCAUUUCCACAGGCUUGCUGUGAAAGUGGCUUUUUAAUUUUAUUAUUAUUAUGAAUUAUUAUUUUAUAGAAAGAAACAGGUGCUUGUAUGAAAAACAUGACUUCUUAAAUGAGGAAGAGUAUUCUCACAAGUGACCAGGGGAGAAUCUUGACUGUCCAUUGAAGAACACAGAUGAUGAUACUGUGGCAAAAACUAAUUUAAAUAAACCUAGAACAAUCCAAAAAGUUAGAUUAACGUUGUAUUCUUGUUUUUUUUUCUCCAUUCUUUCUUUCUUCAAACUCGUUCAAAAAGGCAGAGAUUUAUUUAAAGUGAGAGCCACUUUUUAAAAAUUAAUGUAUGUGUGGAAUCCCAGUCGUUUUCGAGGGGAGGAGCUAGUGUUUGUUUUAAAGGCACAGGUGCCAAUAGCACAUCGCUGUUUCUUUGAUUAUUAUUAUUUUUUUUUGCCAUUACAAAAGAAAUACAUUUUACACAAGAAACGUAUCAUACUCUAAACAACCUGUAAACAAGAAGGACAACAACAGUGCAUACAUGUGAAUUUAACUUGGCAAAAUAAAUAAUUUCACCCAGUAUCUCCAGUAUAAAACACAGAUACCUUAUAUGUCAGUUUGCCAGAGCCGUUCGCUAGUGUCUUUACACUCUGUUUCCAUGCAGAAUAAUCACUGUUCGAUGCUCUGAGUGACAGGAAUGACUUGGCGUAGUUAAAAAAAAAAAAAAAAACUAAAAACAUCACAAAAGCAUGUAUUGCCAUUACUGUGUGUCUCCUGGCAGAGGCUGCUGCAUAGUAUGGCUAACAUCUCAUGGUUAUGGCUCUUCCAAAGACCCGGGCCGCUGAAAUAUUUAUUAUGUACUUAUUCCAUAUGAAACAUUAAUAUACUGUUGAGGGGGUGAGGGUUCUCCUGAAGAUGAGGUUUUACUUCAGACGCUCAGUCUCUGAGCAAGCCUUGGCUAUCAGCCCAACAAGCGAGGCUAGACUUAAAUUAACUACAGUGUGGGACAGCUGUAGCCACUCCCGACUGUCACUUCACUUCUAUAUAAACCGUUUUACAAAAAAAAAAAACCAUCUCAAAUCGAUAAUACCCCCGUCACUCCCCCCCCCCCCCAUGUAAUCCAUACUGCUGAUUAAUGCUUUCUUUCAGAGAAAUCAAACAUUUUUAACUGACAAAGAAUAUUUCGUACAUUCAUCUUUUUUU